Molecule: ribosomal RNA, 518 nt
Filed under: uncultured bacterium
Lineage: Bacteria
Description: bacterial SSU rRNA
Rfam family: Bacterial small subunit ribosomal RNA
Source: RNAcentral
AGAGUUUGAUCCUGGCUCAGAUUGAACGCUGGCGGCAUGCCUUACACAUGCAAGUCGAACGGUAACAGGCCGCAAGGUGCUGACGAGUGGCGAACGGGUGAGUAAUGCAUCGGAACGUGCCCMGUYGUGGGGGAUAACGCAGCGAAAGCUGUGCUAAUACCGCAUACGAUCUAUGGAUGAAAGCGGGGGACCGUAAGGCCUCGCGCGAUUGGAGCGGCCGAUGUCAGAUUAGCUAGUUGGUGGGGUAAAGGCCCACCAAGGCGACGAUCUGUAGCUGGUCUGAGAGGACGACCAGCCACACUGGGACUGAGACACGGCCCAGACUCCUACGGGAGGCAGCAGUGGGGAAUAUUGGACAAUGGGCGCAAGCCUGAUCCAGCCAUGCCGCGUGUGUGAAGAAGGCCUUCGGGUUGUAAACUGCUUUUGUACGGAACGAAACGGUCUGGGUUAAUACCUCGGGCUAAUGACGGUACCGUAAGAAUAAGCACCGGCUAACUACGUGCCAGCAGCCGCGGUAA